This 821-nucleotide long non-coding RNA is filed under the name Medicago truncatula (barrel medic). RNAcentral's name for it is "long non-coding RNA (MTRU_LNC001949)". Lineage: Eukaryota; Viridiplantae; Streptophyta; Magnoliopsida; Fabales; Fabaceae. The record is from RNAcentral.
UCUCCAUGUUUUUAAUUCUCAUUUCAUAGUUUUUCAAGUGUUUAGGCUAUUUUUCUCUAACUCAUUUGAUGUUAAAACCCUAAAAUAAGUGUAAAAUUAUUAUAUACUGUCUAAAACAUAAAUUUGAUGCACCGCAAGCUGUUCCAUAUAUCAAUUGCAAGCUAAGCUCAACAUAACUUCUUUUCCAAAAAAAAAAUGAUUAAAAUACCACAUAUAGGUUAUAUUGAUUUGUCAACAAUCUCAACACUGCAUAAAAACAAUGAAAAAAAUUACGAAAAAAAUUGUACUUCAUUAAGGAUAUGAAAGCAUAAACGUAUUAUUAAAUUCAUGAUUUCAAAAUCAAUGAAAUAUAUCAAAUUAAUCCUAAAAUUAACUAAUGAUGAAAGAACACUAACAUGAUUAAAGACAAAAUUGUAAAAACUACAUACCAAGAAGGACUGUCAAUACUUCAAAUUAAUAUAAAAAUAUUUUAUCUCAUUGUGGUAUUAUUCCUAUAAAUAAUUAUGUCACCAUUCUAGAGUAUUAACUAUCUUUUAUGAUUUUUUUUGCCAUUUUUCUUCACCGUUUAUAGGUGUAGAGUAAAUAAUCAUUGGCUAUCACUGACUAAUAUGAACCAUUGAAUCUUAUUGGUCCCCUUUACUAAGGUAUCCCUUUCUAAAUACAUUUUAUUAACCACAAUAUUCAAAUGAUACAUUGGUUUCCGCCAUCACCUCUCUCUCUAUGUAUGUGUGUGAGUGUGUGUCUGUGUGUGUACGUAUGUAUGUUCUUGAAUGCUGGAUUAGUAAUAAAAAAUGAUUAAAUAUUGGUAACUAGGUUUUAAC